CGAACGCUGGCGGCGUGCUUAACACAUGCAAGUCGAACGGAAAGGCCCUGCUUUUGUGGGGUGCUCGAGUGGCGAACGGGUGAGUAACACGUGAGUAACCUGCCCUUGACUUUGGGAUAACUUCAGGAAACUGGGGCUAAUACCGGAUAGGAGCUCCUGCUGCAUGGUGGGGGUUGGAAAGUUUCGGCGGUUGGGGAUGGACUCGCGGCUUAUCAGCUUGUUGGUGGGGUAGUGGCUUACCAAGGCUUUGACGGGUAGCCGGCCUGAGAGGGUGACCGGCCACAUUGGGACUGAGAUACGGCCCAGACUCCUACGGGAGGUAGCAGUGGGGAAUAUUGCACAAUGGGCGGAAGCCUGAUGCAGCAACGCCGCGUGCGGGAUGACGGCCUUCGGGUUGUAAACCGCUUUCGCCUGUGACGAAGCGUGAGUGACGGUAAUGGGUAAAGAAGCACCGGCUAACUACGUG
Molecule: ribosomal RNA, 466 nt
Filed under: uncultured bacterium
Lineage: Bacteria
Description: partial 16S ribosomal RNA
Rfam family: Bacterial small subunit ribosomal RNA
Source: RNAcentral